GAACUGAAGAGUUUGAUCCUGGCUCAGAUUGAACGCUGGCGGCAUGCCUUACACAUGCAAGUCGAACGGCAG
This 72-nucleotide ribosomal RNA is filed under the name Burkholderia cepacia. Its description in RNAcentral is "partial 16S ribosomal RNA". It matches the Rfam family "Bacterial small subunit ribosomal RNA", at positions 1 to 72 of the family's 1533-position model. The record is from RNAcentral. Lineage: Bacteria; Pseudomonadati; Pseudomonadota; Betaproteobacteria; Burkholderiales; Burkholderiaceae.